This 484-nucleotide ribosomal RNA is filed under the name uncultured bacterium. Its description in RNAcentral is "partial 16S ribosomal RNA". It matches the Rfam family "Bacterial small subunit ribosomal RNA", at positions 30 to 507 of the family's 1533-position model. The record is from RNAcentral.
AUUGAACGCUGGCGGCAGGCCUAACACAUGCAAGUCGAGCGGAUGAAGGGAGCUUGCUCCUGGAUUCCGCGGCGGACGGGUGAGUAAUGCCUAGGAAUCUGCCUGGUAGUGGGGGAUAACGUCCGGAAACGGGCGCUAAUACCGCAUACGUCCUGCGGGAGCAAGUGGGGGAUCUUCGGACCUCACGCUAUCAGAUGAGCCUAGGUCGGAUUAGCUAGUUGGUGGGGUAAAGGCCUACCAAGGCGACGAUCCGUAACUGGUCUGAGAGGAUGAUCAGUCACACUGGAACGGAGACACGGUCCAGACUCCUACGGGAGGCAGCAGUGGGGAAUAUUGGACAAUGGGCGAAAGCCUGAUCCAGCCAUGCCGCGUGUGUGAAGAAGGUCUUCGGAUUGUAAAGAACUUUAAGUUGGGAGGAAGGGCAGUAAGUUAAUACCUUGCUGUUUUGACGUUACCAACAGAAUAAGCACCGGCUAACUUCGUG